Molecule: ribosomal RNA, 745 nt
Filed under: uncultured archaeon
Lineage: Archaea
Description: bacterial SSU rRNA
Rfam family: Archaeal small subunit ribosomal RNA
Source: RNAcentral
ACCCCACUGCUAUCGGGAUAGGACUAAGACAUGCUAGUCGUGCGCUUCCUAGCCAAUUUGGGAGCGCGGCACACAGCUCAGUAACACGUGGCUAACCUGCCCUUGGGACCAGAACACCCCCGGGAAACUGGGGCUAAUUCUCGAUAGGUGAAGAACUCUGCAAUGAGUCUUCGCUUAAAAGAGGCUGGGGUUAUGCUCUCCAGUUUCGCCCAAGGAUGGGGCCGCGACCGAUCAGGUUGUUGGUGAGGUAAUGGCUCACCAAGCCUUUUACCGGUGCGGGCCGUGAGAGCGGGAGCCCGGAGAUGGGCACUGAGACAAGGGCCCAGGCCCUACGGGGCGCAGCAGUCGCGAAAACUUUGCAAUAAGCGAAAGCUUGACAGGGCUAUCCCGAGUGCCAUCCGCUGAGGAAGGCUUUUACCCAGUCUAGAACGCUGGGGGAAUAAGGAGAGGGCAAGUCUGGUGUCAGCCGCCGCGGUAAUACCAGCUCUCCGAGUGGUGUGGAUGUUUAUUGGGCCUAAAGCACCCGUAGCUGGCUAGGUUAGUCCCCUGUUAAAUCCACCGAAUUAAUCGUUGGAUUGCGGGGGAUACUGCUUGGCUAGGGGACGAGAGAGGCAGACGGUAUUUCCGGGGUAGGGGUGAAAUCCUAUAAUCCCGGGAAGACCACCAGUGGCGAAGGCUGUCUGCUAGAACGCGCCCGACGGUGAGGGAUGAAAGCUGGGGGAGCGAACCGGAUUAGAUACCCGGG